This 253-nucleotide ribosomal RNA is filed under the name uncultured bacterium. Its description in RNAcentral is "partial 16S ribosomal RNA". It matches the Rfam family "Bacterial small subunit ribosomal RNA", at positions 524 to 776 of the family's 1533-position model. The record is from RNAcentral.
UACGGGGGGGGCAAGCGUUGUUCGGAAUUACUGGGCGUAAAGGGCGCGUAGGCGGUCAGAUAAGUCAGCUGUGAAAACCUCGGGCUUAACCCGAGGCCUGCAGUUGAAACUGUUUGGCUGGAGUGUGGGAGAGGAGAGUGGAAUUCCACGUGUAGCGGUGAAAUGCGUAGAGAUGUGGAGGAACACCAGUGGCGAAGGCGACUCUUUGGUCUGUAACUGACGCUCAGACACGACAGCAUGGGGAGCGAACGGG